This 290-nucleotide ribosomal RNA is filed under the name uncultured bacterium. RNAcentral's name for it is "partial 16S ribosomal RNA". It matches the Rfam family "Bacterial small subunit ribosomal RNA", at positions 355 to 638 of the family's 1533-position model. The record is from RNAcentral.
UAGGGAAUCUUCCACAAUGGACGCAAGUCUGAUGGAGCAACGCCGCGUGAGUGAAGAAGGCUUUCGGGUCGUAAAACUCUGUUAUUGAAGAAGAACGUGUGUGACAGUAACUGGUCAUGCAGUGACGGUAUUCAAUCAGAAAGUCACGGCUAACUACGUGCCAGCAGCCGCGGUAAUACGUAGGUGGCAAGCGUUGUCCGGAUUUAUUGGGCGUAAAGCGAGUGCAGGCGGUCUUUUAAGUCUGAUGUGAAAGCCUUCGGCUUAACCGAAGAGGGCAUCGGAAACUGGGA